AAUUCACUAGUGAUUAGAGUUUGAUCCUGGCUCAGGAUGAACGCUGGCGGCGUGCUUAACACAUGCAAGUCGAACGGAGCCUUUCGGGGCUUAGUGGCGGACGGGUGAGUAACGCGUGAGGAUCUGCCCUUAGGACGGGGACAACAGUUGGAAACGACUGCUAAUACCGGAUAUGGCGAGAGCUGAAAGAUUGUAUCGCCUGAGGAUGAACUCGCGUCUGAUUAGCUAGUUGGUGGGGUAAUAGCUUACCAAGGCGACGAUCAGUAGCUGGUCUGAGAGGAUGAACAGCCACACUGGGACUGAGACACGGCCCAGACUCCUACGGGAGGCAGCAGUGGGGAAUUUUCCGCAAUGGGGGCAACCCUGACGGAGCAACGCCGCGUGCGGGAGGACGGUUUGUGGACUGUAAACCGCUUUUAAUAGGGAAGAAGUUCUGACGGUACCUAUUGAAUAAGCAUCGGCUAACUCCGUGCCAGCAGCCGCGGUAAUACGGAGGAUGCAAGCGUUAUCCGGAAUUAUUGGGCGUAAAGGGUCCGCAGGUGGCCUAUCAAGUCAGCUGUUAAAGACUGGGGCUUAACCCCGGAGUAGCAGUUGAAACUGGUGGGCUAGAGUACGGUAGGGGUAGAGGGAAUUCCUAGUGUAGCGGUGAAAUGCGUAGAUAUUAGGAAGAACACCAGUGGCGAAGGCGCUCUACUGGGCCUGUACUGACACUGAGGGACGAAAGCUAGGGGAGCGAAAGGGAUUAGAUACCCCUGUAGUCCUAGCUGUAAACGAUGAACAGUCCGUGCUUAGCCCGC
This 797-nucleotide ribosomal RNA is filed under the name uncultured Halomicronema sp. RNAcentral's name for it is "bacterial SSU rRNA". It matches the Rfam family "Bacterial small subunit ribosomal RNA", at positions 1 to 832 of the family's 1533-position model. Lineage: Bacteria; Bacillati; Cyanobacteriota; Cyanophyceae; Nodosilineales; Nodosilineaceae. The record is from RNAcentral.